AUUGAACGCUGGCGGCAUGCCUCACACAUGCAAGUCGAACGGCAGCGGACCUUCGGGUGCCGGCGAGUGGCGAACGGGUGAGUAAUAUAUCGGAACGUACCUUUCAGUGGGGGAUAACGUAGCGAAAGUUACGCUAAUACCGCAUAUUCUGUGAGCAGGAAAGCAGGGGAUCGCAAGACCUUGCGCUGAUUGAGCGGCCGAUAUCAGAUUAGCUAGUUGGUGAGGUAAAGGCUCACCAAGGCGACGAUCUGUAGCGGGUCUGAGAGGAUGAUCCGCCACACUGGAACUGAGACACGGUCCAGACUCCUACGGGAGGCAGCAGUGGGGAAUUUUGGACAAUGGGCGCAAGCCUGAUCCAGCCAUGCCGCGUGAGUGAAGAAGGCCUCGG
This 388-nucleotide ribosomal RNA is filed under the name uncultured bacterium. RNAcentral describes it as "bacterial SSU rRNA". It matches the Rfam family "Bacterial small subunit ribosomal RNA", at positions 30 to 420 of the family's 1533-position model. The record is from RNAcentral.